GAGGGCAUAGCUCAGUGGUAGAGUGCAUUCCCAGAAUGCACGAGGUCCUGGGUUCAAUCCCCAGUGCCUCCA
This 72-nucleotide transfer RNA is filed under the name Camelus bactrianus (Bactrian camel). It matches the Rfam family "tRNA". From Rfam's summary of the family: Transfer RNA (tRNA) molecules are approximately 80 nucleotides in length. Their secondary structure includes four short double-helical elements and three loops (D, anti-codon, and T loops). RNAcentral also lists the same sequence under 1 other name. Lineage: Eukaryota; Metazoa; Chordata; Mammalia; Artiodactyla; Camelidae. The record is from Rfam by way of RNAcentral.